UGAGACAAUGACUUGAAAAUUGAAAUGAUAAUUUUAGGGCACUGAAAUAAAUUAGUUAUGAAAUGUAACAAUCUAUGUUACAAAGUGUUUAUAAUUGCAGUGAAUUCAUUUGUAUUACAAAUUAUAUGCUGUAAUUUUAUCAUGGGUGAUACAGGUAUCUGUACAUGUACUAAAAUUUUUAAUAUCUAAUAAUUUUUAUAUUUAUAUUUUUUAUGAAGAUAAUUUCAAUACCAUUGCGUAUGAAACACAUGGCAGUAUUUUAAAAAACAAACUAUAGACUUGUUGGUGCACUGUAGAAAUUACCAUCAUUUAGUGCUAAUUUUGUACUAGUAAUACCCAGCAGUUAAGGUGGCAACAGCGACUUUCUAGUGCAAACUAUUGACAAACAAGAAAAAACAACAAACUUGAGGCUCAAAAUUUUAUAACACAUUCGGAAAUAAAAAUGCCAUCAAGAAACAAUGUUUAUAAAGGCCUGAUAUGGCAAUAAUAAUGUUUCCAAAAUGAAGUCAAUUACUAUUAAGCCUGGUGCACCCUAGUUUAUUAUUUUACUCUGUCUAACACCUGACGAUUUUACUCGUCAAGUGGAGAGUUCUACACUGUAGGCAAUAACUCAAUGGGUUAAUUAAUCAAGCAAUCUGCCAAUGCAUCCUCUUAACCCUUUAAGUGCCAAUGCACCCUAGUUUAUUAUUUUACUUUGUAACGCCAGACAAUUUUACUCGUUAAGUAGAGAGUGCUGCCACUCAAUGGGUUAACCUCUUUAAAUUCAAAAAGGAGUUAUGUGACACUAGUUUUUUCUUGAAAAUGUUGCUUCCUUCAGAUGUAAUUAAUGGGGUAUUCUGUAGAUCAGGUACCCCCAAAAGAUCGUGCUUUAUAAUUACAUAUACAAACUUUUUAAAAACCUUUAUUAGACCUUUCCCUGAUUGGAAACUUCCCAUUCACUGUCAAAAAGGUGUAGUGCGAAAACUUGAAGACCUGCAAUUUUCAGUAAUGAAAGGAUAUAUGUAGGGUCAAAAGGGAAAAAUAUACUUUAAAAAUGCCACAUAAUUAAUUAAUACACAGCAAAGCAUGAUCAUUGGAAUGAUUUAAUUGCAAUUACAUAUAUAAUACAGAUAAACAUUAAAAAUUGUUAAUGUGGUUUCAUCUGAGGUAUUAAUAUUAUCCUAGACUUGCUCCAAGUCUUGCUUACAUAUAUUAACUUUAUUUUGAAAGGACAUAGGGUGUGAUGAGAUCUAGCUACAUAAAUAUCAUCCUUACAAAAUGUGAAUAAGUUGUCCCCAUUUACUAAAUCUGCACUGUUUAAUGUCAUAGGAUUUUGCUUGAAACCCAUGCAGUUACAAUUACUAUGUUGGACAUCGGCAGGUACAAAACGCAGGUUGCAGGUUGCAGGUUGGAAUUUUGCAGGUUGGGAAUUUUGCAGGUUGGAAUUUUGCAGGUUGGGAAUUUUGCAGGUUGGAGUUUUGCAGGUUGCCAGGAACUUUGCAGGUUGGAAUUUUGCAGGUUGACAGGAAUUUUGCAGGUUGAUGAUGCAAACUGAAAAUUACACUACUAUAAAGUAUUCUAGUAUAAUUUUAUUGUGUACUUAUUGCAGUCUGACUCCUUGUUGCCGCUUUUGAUAUCAGCCUAUCCUGCUACCAUGUUUCUAGCCUCUGCUCAUCACCCUUGUGAAAACAUUCAAAAUGACCAGAUUGGCUUGGAUCUUCAGGGGGACGAAUGUUUCGAUUGUUGCGAGGAGCCUACAUGACGUGGUGGCAGUUCAGAAAAUGCCUGAAUGAGGUGUCUCUCCUCUGCACCCACUAAUGAGACCACUCAAGCCCCCAAUUACCGUAUCAUUACUCGAGAGUUAGUUAACUUUUAACAACAUUCUAGUACAAACGCCGCCACAUCAUGUAGGCACGUCGCAACAAUCAAAACAUUUGUCCAGGGGCGUAGGAAGCUUCUAAAAGUUGGGAGGACCAGGCUUUGAGGGGCACUUUCCGAAUAAAAAAGGGCAUCUAAAAUUUUUUUCCCGGAAAUGUUGGCGACGGGGAGGGGGGGGGGGUAGGUCUCAAAACAUUUUUCCGGACAUACCAAAAAAAAUUUUUCCAGAUAUAUCCAAUUUUCCUAAAUAUGAAAAAAAAUUUCCGGAAAUACAAAAAAAAUUUUCGGACAUUCCGGAAAAUAACAUAAAUUCAAGUUUCGAAAAGUGCGCUUUGGGCAAAAAAAGGCAAUCCUUAAAACAUUUUUAACGCAAAAAAAAGGGCACUUUGCUCCCGGAAAAAGGGCACUUGGCAAAACUUGGGGGGGGGGCCCGGUCGGUUCCUACGUUCCUGCAUUCGUCUCCCUGUAGGUCCAAGCCAAUCUGGUCAUUUUGAAUGUUUUCACGAGGGUGAUGGCCACUAGCCUUAGAGCAGAGGCGCCGACAAGGAGUCAGACUGCAAUAAAUGCACAACUAAAUUAUACUAGAAUAGUAAAAAAGUGGUGUCAUUUUAAGUUUGCAUUAUCAACCUGCAAAGUUCCUGGCAACCAGCAAAAUUCCAACCUGUAAAAUCCCCAACCUGCAAAAUUCCAACCUGCAAAAUUCGCAACCUGCAAAAUUCCAACCUGCAACCUGCAACCUGCGUUUUGUACUUGCCGUGUUGGACAUCCAUUUUCACAGUGGAAAAAUGCAUAAAUUCCAGCUCCCAUUUUACCCCUUUUCAGCUCACAGCUAGGUGGUUACCAUCAUACAAUUAACUAUAUAUUAGUAACAAAUUAAAUUUAAAUGUAGCAAGUUCGCAGUCACAGACAAAUGAAGACUACCCAGUGAAGUUUGACAAUAAAGAAUUAAAAGAAAAGCUUUCACCACAGCAGUUUGAUGUUACCCAAAAUAGAGGAACAGAAAG
Non-coding RNA from Paramuricea clavata, 2861 nucleotides. Lineage: Eukaryota; Metazoa; Cnidaria; Anthozoa; Malacalcyonacea; Plexauridae. The record is from the annotation of a GenBank genome assembly.